UAGUGUUACAGCUCUUGUAGAAUUUGUUUAGCCGAUUUUCUAGUUUUUAAUGGAACCCU
Otolemur garnettii (small-eared galago) is the source of this 59-nucleotide small nuclear RNA. Its record names the gene U7. It matches the Rfam family "U7 small nuclear RNA". Rfam says of the family: Animal histone pre-mRNAs are spliced by a different mechanism than nuclear pre-mRNAs and self-splicing introns. This processing involves the U7 snRNP, which contains only one RNA species: U7. The record is from Ensembl. Lineage: Eukaryota; Metazoa; Chordata; Mammalia; Primates; Galagidae.